This 1170-nucleotide long non-coding RNA is filed under the name Salmo trutta (river trout). Its description in RNAcentral is "lncRNA (ENSSTUG00000013142.1)". The record is from RNAcentral. Lineage: Eukaryota; Metazoa; Chordata; Actinopteri; Salmoniformes; Salmonidae.
CAUUUGCCCAAGGCAAACCUACUGUAAUGCCAUGUGAUGAGUGCAUGUCCUGUUUCCUAGAAGUAAUUCAGUCCCUGAUUGUACCUGACAGACAUGGAUCACAGUGAGUGAUCCCCUGGCGUGUGCUACAGGGAUUACACUGGCUACUACAAGGACACCUUUUUAUAGCCCAAACUGCAACCACACACCACAACAAGAGUGACGUCUGUGUUAUGUACAUUUCACAAUCAUGAGAAUAGACAGUUAUACUAGCAGCAAGCAGACAGACAAUUAGAAGACGAGAGAUACACACAUUCUGUACAUAGUAGCUACAGUGUUAACUACUGAGUACCACUCCAAAUGGCACUCCGCUGACAGUGACCCCGUAUUCAUGUUAAAAGUUCAAACUCUUUUAUUAACUCAAACAACUACAUUUAUUCAAACUUCUACAGUAUAGAACCUUGUAAGUUUGGACCUGGGGCUUUGGGGUACAUAUAUAUGGCCUGAGGUUUUCAUUAUUCUCAUUGCUAAUCUCUGCCGGAUAGUGCCGUCCUUCAGGUCCAUAAUCCCGUUAGGCGAGUCUCAUCCUAAUCCAGCCAGAACAUUGCUGUCCGUCUUGGGCUCUGUGUCCCUGUCAGGUAUGCUGCUGCACCACUGAACAUACAGGAUGUUUAACUGGGUGGUGAAAGUGGUUCCUCAGCCUCCUGACGCCCCUGGCUCUCUGGGACAGGAGACAGCCAAUCCCGCACCUGCAUCACCACAAAAAGUGUCUAAAGAUGAAGUCAAAAAAGAAGUCAAUGCAAAACCAGCCAAACAGCAGGAAGAGGAUAUUUCAGAGGACAAUGGUAUUCAGAGUCAGAGUGGAGUGAUGACCUGGCUCUCUAAUGGCUUCACCAGUGCUCUGCCUCAACCAACAGGCACCCCUAACCUCAGCAGAUCCAACUCUGUAUCCAGGUCACUGCAGGAGGUACAAAGAGAGGACGAAAGGAAUGGGGUGAUUAAGUGGAUUGCAGAGGGACUGAGCAAAGUGGUGCCUCAGCCGGAUGACAAGUACAGAGAGGAUAUUCGAGAGGAGGAGGAGGAGGAGACAGAGGUGAGUUGACACUAUCGUGUCACCAUGUCACGGUUUCUGUGGAAGUAGAUUGUAGAUGUAUUUUUUCAGGAGAGCACGUGGUGCUCCAGGUCCACUGG